AGACACUCUCUCUGCACAUGUCAGACCAUAUCCUUAGCAGAAAUAUUACGUGCAGAACACAAAUCAUGGGCCAAGGAGGAAAGGGACAUUCUGAAGAAGAGGAUGCUCGAGGAAAACCUUGUUCUCUACAACUACCUGAAAGGAGGUUGUAAUGAGAUGGAGAUCAGCCUCUUCUCCUGGAAGUGAAUAUUCAUGAAGAAGGACUCAGCCAAGCAACAGAGCAAGCUGAGACUCUGGAAACAUCUAAUCAAACACACCACAGCAGUCACUGUCACCAUCUGCCAUACCAGAGUCAAGGUGCACCACUACAUCCUCUCCUGGGCUGGAGGCUGUUCCAAGUUUUAAUCAACAUUUGGAAGCAAACAACCACCAGACAGAAUAAAUAAGAAGAUCUCCAUUAUUCUACACUCUAGGUGGCACUUGGCUGGCUUCCACAUUUGUGUGUCUUUGUGCAGCACUGCGCCUUGCAUCACUGCGUGUGUGAUGGGGCUGUCAGAUUCCCCAGAAGCACUGCAGAUUGGACAUCCCCCCCCCACCAGCGAACAGCAUACAUGGUUUGAUGGAGGUUCACUGGAGACUGAAUUCUGAACUGUCUAGUCCAAGCAUCCAUGUGGAUUUUGCAACUGCUUGAACAACCAGUUUUCAUCCAGAAUAAGCUUGAAACCCUCAGUAUUGCAAGGCAGUCUUAAUGGGAACAUGAGGUACAAAAUUUAGGAGAUAGUGAAAGCAGGAGUUGGCACUGGAUUAAAAUUCAGCGCUUCUCCUCUCAUCUGCCUAGAUUUUACACUCUCAAGCUGAAACCUUAAGUAGGAUAAUUAUUUGAAAAUAUUACAGCAAAAGAUGAAUCACUCAGCUUUAUUAAGCUUUAAUGAUUGUUUUGAUUGCUCUGAUGAGAUGACAGGGCUGAUGUGACUGUAUUUACUAGACCACUUUAAAACAGUAUCAAUAAUCUCAACAUUAGACCUGCUGAUCUUCUUGUUCAACACUUGGCCAGCAAUCCAAACUCUUUGAGUCUGCAUUCAGGCUUAUAGAAAAUGUGAUGGCAUAACGCCACAGCCCAGGGAAGUGCUGUCACCCAUACAAGAAUGAUUGAUUCAAGAAAUGAAAAUCAGCACUGCUAGGUUACUGUACCAGAAGCUGGAAAAAGAGAAGCCUUCACAGCCCUCUCCCAUAUGAAAUAAUUUAGAAACACCCUGGAGUUUGGCUGGAUGGACAUUUCCUUUGCAAAGAGAAUCAAAUCCCACUCAUCCUGAUUUUGCCAGAUGGCUCUCCACAUUCUGUUAUGAGACCAGCAACUGCAAUUUCAUCACACUGGAGGGAUUUACAGAUGAGCUAAGAUAUUUUUAUGGCUAAGUUGCUCUACAGAUACACAUGUCCCAGUUCUCUGUUGUGAAGGACUCAGAUUGCCCACACUGUUCGUCACAUUCUUUUUGCUCUGGCAAUAGUGGAAGCACUUCUCAUGGAGUGCUGUAUUACAUAGGAUCAGAUCUUGUGAGCCACUUGCAGUGGUUACUGACUUUUUUUUGGUUCCAUUUUAAACGUUGAAUUACUGAGGUCAAAUACAGUGACCCUGGCCUUCAUUUGGCAUCAAAGGGUGGGAUACAGCCUUUAUGCACUGUGGGAGCUGCAGCUUCAAAAGCCAUAGUGUCAAUACAUACAGGAAAGUGCCUCCAGCACUUAGUCAUUACUAGCAGGGGGAAGGCAGGGUUUUCCUAUAGGUUCCCUGUGGGCCCAGGCACAGAGAACAGCAGCAGAGCAGGAGCGGCAGCUGAG
Long non-coding RNA from Gallus gallus (chicken), 1773 nucleotides. RefSeq lists it as uncharacterized. The transcript is spliced from 3 exons. The record is from RefSeq and is a predicted model, not a curated record. NCBI's taxonomy places the organism in Eukaryota, Metazoa, Chordata, Aves, Galliformes, Phasianidae.